UUAUGUUAGUUUUGUUUUUAAUAUGGUGUGUUGUGCAGGAGUGGAUUCAUUGCUCUAUAAAUCUUUGUCUGCAAAAAUGAUGUUUAUAUAGGGUUUAAAUUCAGUGUGUGGUCCCCAUUUUUAUUGUUUAGAUUGAAGCGUUCACUAUUGCUAAUGUCUAAUCAGCUAAUUCUUAGUAUCUGUGGGAAGUGUUGAUACUGCAUGUAUUUACUCCUAUUCGAAUCGGUGUGCAAGAUUUUUCAGAAAAAGAUAUUGCCAUUCAUGGUACACCGUACAUGUAUUUCAAAAAUAUUUUGCAAAUCCUUUUAUGCAUGCAAGAAAUUUAUACAUAUCUUAUGGCUACUUUCCUAAAAGUUUCCUUGCCCCUGCUGGGCUCCAUUUUCAUUGUAUAACUUUUCUUACAUUCCAAUUUUGAAUAACUUGAUCACCUUCACCUUGUAUAUUUAAGAAAUAAGAUAUCAUUUUUGAAUGUUGUUGGGAUAUGACAUGAAGUUGGUCACGUGAUCAAAUCCUAUAACGCCCAAAGGGCGUUAUAGUAGAUUUGAUCACGUACCAACUUCAUGUCAUAUCCCAAUAACAUUCAAAAAUGAUAUUUUAUUUCUUAUAUUUAUAUUUUCUAUUUUGAUUUGUGUUCUUACCGAGCUUCCAUGAUUAUGUAGCAGAUGACCAAACUAACGAUCGUAGAACACAAAAUAUAGUUCGUUAGAGUUUUAUCGAAUAAAAAAUUAGGAACAAUAUAAAAGAGAAUAUAAGAUAGAGAUAUUUAAUUGAAAAUGUUAAAAAAAAAAAAAGACGAAACAUGUGUAAAAUAAAGGUAAUUUAGAGCGUAAAGUUAACUGAAAUGACAAGAAGAAGAGCGGAGUAAACUACAUCCGUGAUGUGAUUUGGUCGCGAUCAGCGAUGGAGAAACUGGUGUCGGUCUAGCUUACUAAGUUGAAAACGCUUGUUGAUCACAGAUUUCGACAGAAAUUCAAAGGAUCUGAGAGAAUUGAUGGUGGAUAUGAUGGGUCAAGUUAACAUUAAGAUCUUAGUCGGGUUUUUGGAAAGAAACAACGGUAUGUUCAUCGUUAGGACUCGCAGUAAACGUAGCCAUGCAGGAGACGAUUCAAGACAGUAGGACAGAUUUAGACAAAGUGCAGGAUUUUAAUGAAGACUCGCACCGGUACCCUGACAUGAACAUCUAUAUUUUUCGAGCCUCGAAACCAGCCUUGCUUAUGAUCAUGCCGAGUCAUAGCCGUGAUGGAAGUUGCCAGGAAACAACAGGUUAACUUAUCAUAAAGUAAAUAGGCUUAUAACUCUGUCUACAUGUCUUCACUUCCAAUAUCAUAGAACUUUAUAAAAUCGCCAUGCAGAAGUUGCAGAUGGUAUUUAAAACUGUAUAAAAUGAAACAACAGAAUGAUAUGUUUAAUGUUUCUCUUUUAUAAAUUGAUGAAAUUCUUGUUUGUUUACAAAAUAAAAUCUGUAUAAAUAUC
This is a long non-coding RNA of Ostrea edulis (European flat oyster), 1473 nucleotides long. RefSeq lists it as uncharacterized. The transcript is spliced from 2 exons. The record is from RefSeq and is a predicted model, not a curated record. NCBI's taxonomy places the organism in Eukaryota, Metazoa, Mollusca, Bivalvia, Ostreida, Ostreidae.